CUUUCCCCCACUUCACCCCCAUCUCUCUCUCUGCGGCGACAAUGGCGGCCCGGCUCCUGAGCCGAUCCAAAACCCUAGCCCGCGCACUCUGCUCCCCUCUCACUUCUCAGCAUCUUCGCCCUCUCAGCCACGGCCGGAUCCCGCCGCCGCCAACCAGCGGCCCCGAUCUCGCCUCCCCGGCCGCCCCUCUAGGCUCCGGAAAGGUUUGGAAUUAUGAACAGAUAUCUCAGUCACAUUUGUUCAAACCUCUUCAUGCUGGCACACAAGCUUUACCCGGUAGAUCUUUGAGGCAUCACGUAUACAGUGUUCACUCACACUCUUACCAUUCAGCUGGAAAUGAUAAAUUUGAGAAGACAGUUGGCGAGAUAAAAGAAGGCAAGGCUGAACUUGAUUCUCUUGAUCCCAAAGAUGGGAAGGUAAUUUCUUUCAGUCCAUUGGAGGGGACUAUUAAAGGGCGAGUGAGCGGACUGUCGAACGAAAGUUUGAAGAUAAAGAGAAGCGAGCUUGCCCAGAAGAUCACAUACGCCCUCAUACCUGCAUUGCUUCUGGUCUCGAAAACAAAGCUGACCACCUCACUACUUAUCUUUUCCGUGUACUGGCAAAUUUAUGGGUUUUUCAAGGAGAUCUUUCUGGAUUACGUUCAUCAGGAAGUGACCCGCAAGUGGGUUCUUAUCUACUUCAAGCUGAUGCUCCUCGUUCUGGCCAAGGACAUGUUUGUUUUGUUUGGUUUGGUGUAGGCUCUGUUGUUGUGACUUGUGAUUUUCUUUUCUGAGUUGGG
Molecule: unclassified non-coding RNA, 778 nt
Filed under: Hevea brasiliensis (rubber tree)
Lineage: Eukaryota; Viridiplantae; Streptophyta; Magnoliopsida; Malpighiales; Euphorbiaceae
Source: RNAcentral